GAUUCCUCCCUGCGUCGAAUAAUUGUGGAUCUUUCUCGCCUUUUUCAUUUUCUUGAUACGAUGGGUUUUUCUUGGAGAAUUUUGUUUGCGAUCGGAUGAGUUUACUGCCUCCGUGGUUAUCGACGGGUAGGGUUCCUUGUGAUUCUUGCGCACGGGAGUGGUCUUAGUGAGUGAUUCCUUCCUGCGUCGAAUAAUUGUGGUUCGUUCUCCUUGUUUAGACUUUCUUGGUACGAUAGGUUUUUCUUGGAGAAUUGUGUUUGCGAUCGGAUGAGUUUACUGCGGUCGUGGUUAUCUACGGGUAGGGUUCCAUGCGAUUCUUGCGCACAGGAGUGGUCCUAUGAAAUCCUUCGGGCUAUGGGCUUGGUGUAAUUUGGAAAUUAAGGAUAAUUUGAUGGAUCAUGUUUCUGUCUGGACAGACACAAUAAGGGCAUUGCUAAAAUUCAUUAUGUCAGUCAUUGGUAGAAAACGAAAGUAGUGCUCCUUCAAACACAAAUUAGUUGCACUUGUUGCUAAGACUAGUAGAAAGGACGGCUCCAAAUUCUAAACAGGAAA
Molecule: long non-coding RNA, 552 nt
Organism: Musa acuminata AAA Group (dessert banana)
Lineage: Eukaryota; Viridiplantae; Streptophyta; Magnoliopsida; Zingiberales; Musaceae
Exons: 2
Source: RefSeq, a predicted model, not a curated record